This 460-nucleotide long non-coding RNA is filed under the name Salvia miltiorrhiza (redroot sage). RNAcentral describes it as "long non-coding RNA (SMIL_LNC010474)". The record is from RNAcentral. Lineage: Eukaryota; Viridiplantae; Streptophyta; Magnoliopsida; Lamiales; Lamiaceae.
UGGGAGACGGAUAAUGUAAUCUAUAUAUUAUAUGAAAACACAGUUUUCUAACGCCCCGCAAAAAUUUUGACAGUUUAUUUUCACCAAAAUUUCAGGCAUAUACAAUGUGAUUCGUAACAAUUUCAAAAGUUCAAACGUGAUUUCAACAACAGUUUUUACUCAAAAAUAUGGAUUUGAGCAAUCAACAUUCAAUAUCUUCACCAAAAAAAGGAAAUGUCAAGAGAAAUUGUCUUCUGUAAAUACCUUUAGGCGGCUUGAGGGUUGUACUGGUCCCGAUGAGGUGGCGAAAUCAGUGGGGCAAAUAGAGCCGAGGGCGGCGCCGUGCUACUGUAACAGGCUAGAGAGAUGAUGGUGUGUAGUGUGUACGGCGGCGGCCGUGGCUACCUGUGACUGUUGCUGCCGCCGAAGAGAGAGAGAAUAAAUGCGAGAUUCACACAGAUAGGGGAGGGAUCGAAACUCG